CGACCCCAGGUCGGGCGGGGCCACCCGCUGAGUUU
This 35-nucleotide unclassified non-coding RNA is filed under the name Casearia comocladifolia. Its description in RNAcentral is "ITS2". Lineage: Eukaryota; Viridiplantae; Streptophyta; Magnoliopsida; Malpighiales; Salicaceae. The record is from RNAcentral.